RNAcentral lists this ribosomal RNA (433 nucleotides) under uncultured bacterium. Its description in RNAcentral is "partial 16S ribosomal RNA". It matches the Rfam family "Bacterial small subunit ribosomal RNA", at positions 29 to 507 of the family's 1533-position model. The record is from RNAcentral.
AACGAACGCUGGCGGCAUGCCUAACACAUGCAAGUCGAACGAGACCUUCGGGUCUAGUGGCGCACGGGUGCGUAACGCGUGGGAACCUGCCCUUAGGUUCGGAAUAACUCCCCGAAAGGGGUGCUAAUACCGGAUAAUGUCUUCGGACCAAAGAUUUAUCGCCUUUGGAUGGGCCCGCGUUGGAUUGGCUAGUUGGUAGGGUAAAAGCCUACCAAGGCGACGAUGCAUAGCUGGUCGGAGAGGAUGCUCAGCCACACUGGGACUGAGACACGGCCCAGUAUCCGACGGAAGGCAGCAGUGGGGAAUAUUGGACGAGGGGCGAAAGUCUAAUACAGCAAUGCCGCGUGAGUGAUGAAGGCCGUAGGGUUGUAAAGCUCUUUUAGCCGGGAUGAUAAUGACAGUACCGGGAGAAUAAGCUCCGGCUAACUCCGUG